AAUGAAUACUAGAAACCCUUCAUUAGUGCAUCAUUAAAUAUUACAUUUUUUACAUCACAUAUUUUUCACUAGAUUAUAGAACUACAAAGGAAUAUCUUCCCUGAAACCUUGCUGCAAUUUUGAAUAAAAGGAAUAUGAAAUUACAUGGGAAAACUUAAAAGAGGAAAGACUGUCAAGAAUUUUUGAAGUUUUGAAAGCCUUCAGCUGGGAGCAUCUUUUCUCCUCUAAAGUGGGGUAGGAUGGGCUUCCUGAUCCUCCUCGAUUGUGCUGGAUGACCACUGCUCCACUCACCCAUACAUGGAGCCACACAUUCCUCCUCCACCACUGGAGCGCCAGUCACCUGGCUGAGCUCUUCCCUUGGGAUGGGCUCGCUUCUUUGCCUACUUUUCAGAGUUUGGACACUGAAGAUAAAGGACAGUAGCCAUAAACAGAGGUACUUCGGAAUCAUGGAAGGAAUAUAUGGCUUUAUUAGAGAGAGUUGUAUUAUGAAACCUUCAAAGAAUAGACCAGCGACAUCAGCAUCUUCUGAACACUUGUUAGAAGUGCAAAUUCUUGAGCCUCACCCAGGUCUGUGGAAUCUGAAUCUCUCGGGGUGGGGUUCAGCAAUCUUCAUUUCAACAUGAC
Molecule: long non-coding RNA, 624 nt
Organism: Physeter macrocephalus (sperm whale)
Lineage: Eukaryota; Metazoa; Chordata; Mammalia; Artiodactyla; Physeteridae
Exons: 5
Source: RefSeq, a predicted model, not a curated record